GAUGAAGAACGCAGCGAAAUGCGAUACGUAAUGUGAAUUGCAGAAUUCAGUGAAUCAUCGAAUCUUUGAACGCAUAUUGCGCUCUCUGGUAUUCCGGAGAGCAUGCUUGUUUGAGUAUCAGUAAACACCUCAACUUCCAUAUCUUUUUUGAAAUGGGAGUUGGACUUGAGUGAUCCCAACGCUUUUCCUCACCGAAAAGUGGCGGGUUACUUGAAAUGCAGGUGCAGCUGGACUUUUCUCUGAGCUAUAAGCAUAUCUAUUUAGUCUGCCUAAAACACAGAUUAUUACCUUUGCUGCAGCUAACAUAAAGGAGAUUAGUUCUUGUGCUGACUGAUGCAGGAUUCACAAAGACAGGCUUCGGCCGACUUUGUAAACUCGAUCUCAAAUCAAGUAAGACUACCCGCUGAACUGAAGCAUAUCAAUACGCGGAGGA
Molecule: unclassified non-coding RNA, 433 nt
Filed under: soil metagenome
Description: partial contains 5.8S ribosomal RNA, internal transcribed spacer 2, and large subunit ribosomal RNA
Rfam family: 5.8S ribosomal RNA (bases 1-120)
Source: RNAcentral